Molecule: ribosomal RNA, 2906 nt
Filed under: Enterobacter hormaechei
Lineage: Bacteria; Pseudomonadati; Pseudomonadota; Gammaproteobacteria; Enterobacterales; Enterobacteriaceae
Description: 23S ribosomal RNA
Rfam family: Bacterial large subunit ribosomal RNA
Source: RNAcentral
GGUUAAGCGACUAAGCGUACACGGUGGAUGCCCUGGCAGUCAGAGGCGAUGAAGGACGUGCUAAUCUGCGAAAAGCGCCGGCGAGGUGAUAUGAACCUUUGACCCGGCGAUGUCCGAAUGGGGAAACCCAGUGCAAUCCGUUGCACUAUCGUUAACUGAAUACAUAGGUUAACGAGGCGAACCGGGGGAACUGAAACAUCUAAGUACCCCGAGGAAAAGAAAUCAACCGAGAUUCCCCCAGUAGCGGCGAGCGAACGGGGAGCAGCCCGGAGUCUGAAUCAGCUUGUGUGUUAGUGGAACGGUCUGGAAAGUCCGACGGUACAGGGUGAUAGUCCCGUACACGAAAGCACACAUGCUGUGAACUCGAAGAGUAGGGCGGGACACGUGGUAUCCUGUCUGAAUAUGGGGGGACCAUCCUCCAAGGCUAAAUACUCCUGACUGACCGAUAGUGAACCAGUACCGUGAGGGAAAGGCGAAAAGAACCCCGGCGAGGGGAGUGAAAAAGAACCUGAAACCGUGUACGUACAAGCAGUGGGAGCCUCUUUAUGGGGUGACUGCGUACCUUUUGUAUAAUGGGUCAGCGACUUAUAUUCUGUAGCAAGGUUAACCGUAUAGGGGAGCCGAAGGGAAACCGAGUCUUAACUGGGCGUUAAGUUGCAGGGUAUAGACCCGAAACCCGGUGAUCUAGCCAUGGGCAGGUUGAAGGUUGGGUAACACUAACUGGAGGACCGAACCGACUAAUGUUGAAAAAUUAGCGGAUGACCUGUGGCUGGGGGUGAAAGGCCAAUCAAACCGGGAGAUAGCUGGUUCUCCCCGAAAGCUAUUUAGGUAGCGCCUCGUGAACUCAUCUUCGGGGGUAGAGCACUGUUUCGGCUAGGGGGCCAUCCCGGCUUACCAACCCGAUGCAAACUACGAAUACCGAAGAAUGUUAUCACGGGAGACACACGGCGGGUGCUAACGUCCGUCGUGAAGAGGGAAACAACCCAGACCGCCAGCUAAGGUCCCAAAGUCAUGGUUAAGUGGGAAACGAUGUGGGAAGGCACAGACAGCCAGGAUGUUGGCUUAGAAGCAGCCAUCAUUUAAAGAAAGCGUAAUAGCUCACUGGUCGAGUCGGCCUGCGCGGAAGAUGUAACGGGGCUAAACCAUGCACCGAAGCUGCGGCAGCGACACUUAUGUGUUGUUGGGUAGGGGAGCGUUCUGUAAGCCGUUGAAGGUGUGCUGUGAGGCAUGCUGGAGGUAUCAGAAGUGCGAAUGCUGACAUAAGUAACGAUAAAGCGGGUGAAAAGCCCGCUCGCCGGAAGACCAAGGGUUCCUGUCCAACGUUAAUCGGGGCAGGGUGAGUCGACCCCUAAGGCGAGGCCGAAAGGCGUAGUCGAUGGGAAACAGGUUAAUAUUCCUGUACUUGGUGUUACUGCGAAGGGGGGACGGAGAAGGCUAUGUCAGCCGGGCGACGGUUGUCCCGGUUUAAGCAUGUAGGCGGAGGUUCCAGGUAAAUCCGGUACCUUGUUAACGCUGAGGUGUGAUGACGAGGCACUACGGUGCUGAAGUGAUAAAUGCCCUGCUUCCAGGAAAAGCCUCUAAGCAUCAGGUAACACGAAAUCGUACCCCAAACCGACACAGGUGGUCAGGUAGAGAAUACCAAGGCGCUUGAGAGAACUCGGGUGAAGGAACUAGGCAAAAUGGUGCCGUAACUUCGGGAGAAGGCACGCUGAUGUGUAGGUGAAGCCCCUGCGGGUGGAGCUGAAAUCAGUCGAAGAUACCAGCUGGCUGCAACUGUUUAUUAAAAACACAGCACUGUGCAAACACGAAAGUGGACGUAUACGGUGUGACGCCUGCCCGGUGCCGGAAGGUUAAUUGAUGGGGUUAGCGGCAACGCGAAGCUCUUGAUCGAAGCCCCGGUAAACGGCGGCCGUAACUAUAACGGUCCUAAGGUAGCGAAAUUCCUUGUCGGGUAAGUUCCGACCUGCACGAAUGGCGUAAUGAUGGCCAGGCUGUCUCCACCCGAGACUCAGUGAAAUUGAACUCGCUGUGAAGAUGCAGUGUACCCGCGGCAAGACGGAAAGACCCCGUGAACCUUUACUAUAGCUUGACACUGAACACUGGUCCUUGAUGUGUAGGAUAGGUGGGAGGCUUUGAAGCGUGGACGCCAGUCUGCGUGGAGCCAACCUUGAAAUACCACCCUUUAAUGGCUGGUGUUCUAACGUAGACCCGUAAUCCGGGUUGCGGACAGUGUCUGGUGGGUAGUUUGACUGGGGCGGUCUCCUCCCAAAGAGUAACGGAGGAGCACGAAGGUUGGCUAAUCCUGGUCGGACAUCAGGAGGUUAGUGCAAUGGCAUAAGCCAGCUUGACUGCGAGCGUGACGGCGCGAGCAGGUGCGAAAGCAGGUCAUAGUGAUCCGGUGGUUCUGAAUGGAAGGGCCAUCGCUCAACGGAUAAAAGGUACUCCGGGGAUAACAGGCUGAUACCGCCCAAGAGUUCAUAUCGACGGCGGUGUUUGGCACCUCGAUGUCGGCUCAUCACAUCCUGGGGCUGAAGUAGGUCCCAAGGGUAUGGCUGUUCGCCAUUUAAAGUGGUACGCGAGCUGGGUUUAGAACGUCGUGAGACAGUUCGGUCCCUAUCUGCCGUGGGCGCUGGAGAAUUGAGGGGGGCUGCUCCUAGUACGAGAGGACCGGAGUGGACGCAUCACUGGUGUUCGGGUUGUCAUGCCAAUGGCACUGCCCGGUAGCUAAAUGCGGAAGAGAUAAGUGCUGAAAGCAUCUAAGCACGAAACUUGCCCCGAGAUGAGUUCUCCCUGAGACUUUAAGUCUCCUGAAGGAACGUUGAAGACGACGACGUUGAUAGGUCGGGUGUGUAAGCGCAGCGAUGCGUUGAGCUAACCGAUACUAAUGAACCGUGAGGCUUAACCUU